Molecule: ribosomal RNA, 291 nt
Filed under: uncultured organism
Description: partial 16S ribosomal RNA
Rfam family: Bacterial small subunit ribosomal RNA
Source: RNAcentral
GCGCAGCAGUCGAGAAUCUUCCCAAUGGGCGAAAGCCUGAGGGAGCGACGCCGCGUGCGGGAUGAAGGGCUUCGGCCUGUAAACCGCUUUUAUUUGGGAAGAAGUGCAAACUGACGGUACCAAAUGAAUAAGAGGUUGCUAACUCUGUGCCAGCAGCAGCGGUAAUACAGAGACCUCAAGCGUUAUCCGGAUUUAUUGGGCGUAAAGCGUCCGCAGGUGGUUCGUUAAGUCAAUGGUCAAAUCACGGGGCUCAACCCCGCAACUGCCAUUGAUACUGGCGAGCUUGAGGCC